This 484-nucleotide ribosomal RNA is filed under the name Staphylococcus epidermidis. Its description in RNAcentral is "bacterial SSU rRNA". It matches the Rfam family "Bacterial small subunit ribosomal RNA", at positions 60 to 525 of the family's 1533-position model. The record is from RNAcentral. Lineage: Bacteria; Bacillati; Bacillota; Bacilli; Caryophanales; Staphylococcaceae.
AUCCUGGCUCNAGCGAAAUGCUUGCUCUCUGACGUUAGCGGCGGACGGGUGAGUAACACGUGGAUAACCUACCUAUNAAGACUGGGAUAACUUCGGGAAACCGGAGCUAAUACCGGAUAAUAUAUUGAACCGCAUGGUUCAAUAGUGAAAGACGGUUNUUGCUGUCACUUAUAGAUGGAUCCGCGCCGCAUUAGCUAGUUGGUAAGGUAACGGCUUACCAAGGCAACGAUGCGUAGCCGACCUGAGAGGGUGAUCGGCCACACUGGAACUGAGACACGGUCCAGACUCCUACGGGAGGCAGCAGUAGGGAAUCUUCCGCAAUGGGCGAAAGCCUGACGGAGCAACGCCGCGUGAGUGAUGAAGGUCUUCGGAUCGUAAAACUCUGUUAUUAGGGAAGAACAAAUGUGUAAGUAACUAUGCACGUCUUGACGGUACCUAAUCAGAAAGCCACGGCUAACUACGUGCCAGCAGCCGCGGUAAUUAA